GGAAGGAUGGCAGAGUGGUCGAAUGCGGCGGUCUUGAAAACCGUUGGGCCCUCACGGGUCCCGGGGGUUCGAAUCCCUCUCCUUCCGCCA
This 90-nucleotide transfer RNA is filed under the name bacterium. RNAcentral describes it as "tRNA-Ser". It matches the Rfam family "tRNA". From Rfam's summary of the family: Transfer RNA (tRNA) molecules are approximately 80 nucleotides in length. The record is from RNAcentral.